UACGGAGGGAGCUAGCGUUGUUCGGAAAUACUGGGCGUAAAGCGCACGUAGGCGGCUUUUUAAGUCAGGGGUGAAAUCCUGGAGCUCAACUCCAGAACUGCCUUUGAUACUGAGAAGCUUGAGUCCGGGAGAGGUGAGUGGAACUGCGAGUGUAGAGGUGAAAUUCGUAGAUAUUCGCAAGAACACCAGUGGCGAAGGCGGCUCACUGGCCCGGUACUGACGCUGAGGUGCGAAAGCGUGGGGAGCAAACAGG
RNAcentral lists this ribosomal RNA (253 nucleotides) under uncultured bacterium. Its description in RNAcentral is "partial 16S ribosomal RNA". It matches the Rfam family "Bacterial small subunit ribosomal RNA", at positions 524 to 776 of the family's 1533-position model. The record is from RNAcentral.